Long non-coding RNA from Poecilia latipinna (sailfin molly), 1503 nucleotides. RefSeq lists it as uncharacterized. The record is from RefSeq and is a predicted model, not a curated record. Lineage: Eukaryota; Metazoa; Chordata; Actinopteri; Cyprinodontiformes; Poeciliidae. The transcript is spliced from 2 exons.
UUCCUCUUAAGUCAUUACUGAAAGAAAAAAGCUAGUUUUGAGUCUUUUACUGAUGUAUUGUUGGCACAACCUGAAACGCGUCUGAUUUUUGACCUUCCGACCAGCCACACUGAAAAUUCGACCACCACAAACUUGUUGGUGCAUCUCUAAUGAUUUCCGACCACAUCUUCAGCUUCUGCUGUAUGUUGUUUAUUUCUUACCCAUUUAAACCUUGGAAAAGCAGCCAAUGCUCAAAAACAAUAAAGCUGAUCACAAAGGAGCAACCUGAACUUGUUCCCCUGUGUCUGUGCAGCAGCCAUUUUUCGUAAACUCUCCUUACUCCCAAUGACCGCCCACCUUGUGCUUGUUAGUCUGUUUACCUUAAACAGCUGAUUACAGGAGGUGGAGCUGCUCUGCCAGCAUUAAAAAGGCACUUGUAGCACAGACUCAACACACUUUACCCCUACUCUCAUCUUCCCACCUCUGUCAUCAUCUUCAUCUUGGCGUGCGGGUCCAGUAAUCUCUGCAGAGUUGUCUGAGACAGCACUCGGAGGGGGGGAGGAUGUAUUUAUCUCAUUGUAGUCUCGCAGACUGGAGCCAUUCACAGCCAUUUUAUCUAACUACUAACCAUAAUGCUUUGCAACAUAAACACUGGAGGACUUUUCUCUGAUAUUAUGACAUCCAUAUGGCUCUUAGUGUAACAGGUCGCGCAAGUCGAAUUAGGAAUAUUUUACUGUUUUUGUAUGAAAUCAAAGAAUGUGAGGUGUAUGAAGUAAAAUGCAUUUGAAGUCUGUUUUCCAUAACCAGGAGUGAGGCAGAAAACGUUAUAUUUAAAGUCAAACAGAAGACGUCAGCCCGUCUGCUGGCCUGAGCUUGUCCAGCUCCAGAUGGUUAAAGAAACAUUUUUACCCACUCCAUGCUUUAUGAUUACAUUACGGCUAAAUGUGCAGCUUUUGGGCUCUCCAAAGCUGUCUAGAAGGACUUGGUGUGAUCCGUUUUUCUGUUGUUACACAUACUUUCACUUAUUUAUGCCUUUGUGUCUGCUGAGGAUGAAUUAAAAUCAAAGCCAGUGAUGAUCAUUCCUCCAGUUAUAACCCAGUUGUUCCCAGUGUCUCAGUGUUUGUCGGAUUGAUGCUUUGUUGUGACAGACUUGCACUCCCAUACAACUAAAAGCCUCUUUAAAAUGGAAAAGUGUAAACUCACUCUGUUUAUGCUGUCGCUGUUACAUUUUCGUCCCCUGAUAUAAGUGACAUCACUAAAUAUUGCUCUUUCCUGACAAACAAAAUAAACUUUUAGAUGUUUUUUUUUCUGUUAUGUUUAUGUUUUAGUAUGUGGAAGAUGGCUUUCCAAAUCCAUUCUUGCCCUCCAACACUAAUCAGGUCUAUCUGGCACAUAAUGAAUGUACUGUAUGCUCCAUACAGGACAUGUACAGCAUGUGACAACGCCUUAAUUAUCUACAUAUCAACACUGUAAGCUGUAACAUUGCAAAGUAUAUAUGUAAUUAAUAAAUAUCAGCUAUCUUGU